RNAcentral lists this ribosomal RNA (1218 nucleotides) under uncultured Rhizaria. RNAcentral describes it as "SSU rRNA". It matches the Rfam family "Eukaryotic small subunit ribosomal RNA", at positions 577 to 1804 of the family's 1831-position model. The record is from RNAcentral.
CGGUAAUUCCAGCUCCAAUAGCGUAUACUAAAGUUGUUGCAGUUAAAAAGCUCGUAGUUGGAUUUCUGCGGGGACGGAGCGGCCGGACGCAACUUGCGUCUCGAGCUAGCGCUUUCCCCACAUCCUGCCGCGAACCGUGCUACCAUUAGCUUGGUGGCGCUGGGGAUCGGCUCGAUUACUUUGAGAAAAAUAGAGUGUUCAAAGCAGGCCACACGCCUUGAAUAAGUUAGCAUGGAAUAAUGAUUAAGGACUUCGGUUCUACUUUGUUGGUGUUCGGGACUGAAGUAAUGAUUGAUAGGGACAGUUGGGGCGGUCUGUAUUCCAAAGCGAGAGGUGAAAUUCUUAGACCUUCGGAAGACAAACAGCUGCGAAAGCGUUCCGCAAGGAUGUUCCCUUUGAUCAAGAACGAAAGUUGGGGGAUCGAAGACGAUCAGAUACCGUCGUAGUCUCAACUAUAAACUAUACCAGCUAGGGAUCGGCCAACGUUUAACUUUAUCGACUUGGUCGGCACCUUAUGAGAAAUCAAAGCAUCUGGGUUCCGGGGGGAGUAUGGUCGCAAGGCUGAAACUUAAAGGAAUUGACGGAAGGGCACCACCAGGCGUGGAGCCUGUGGCUUAAUUUGACUCAACACGGGAAAACUUACCAGGUCCAGACAUAGGAAGGAUUGACAGAUUGAUAGCUCUUUCUUGAUUCUGUGGGUGGUGGUGCAUGGCCGUUUUUAGUCGGUGAAGUGAUUUGUCUGCUUAAUUGCGUUAACGGACGAGACCCCAGCCUGCUAAAUAGCGCGGCCGAGCUUUGCUCGGUACGAGCUUCUUAGAGGGACCAUGAUGCGCGAUAGCACAAGGAAGUUUGGGGCAACAACAGGUCUGUGAUGCCCUUAGAUGUUCUGGGCCGCACACGGGCUACACUGGCGCCUGCAACGAGCAUAUCAGCUGGCCCGAGAGGGUCUUGGCUAAUCUUUGGAACCGGCGCCGUGCUUGGGAUUGACCAUUGCAAUUGUUGGUCAUGCAACGAGGAAUGCCUUGUAAACGCGAGUCAUCAGCUCGCAUUGAAUACGUCCCUGCCCUUUGUACACACCGCCCGUCGCUCCUACCGAUGAAUGUUCCGAUGAAAUUUUCGGAGAGCGCCAGAGAACGGGGCUCUGCCUUGCAGAUCUGGAGGCUCAAAGUCACUUAAAUCUGAACAUUUCGAGGAAGGAGAAGUCGUAACAAGGUAACC